AGGCAAAUCCGGUUCCCUAUAUUCUGAGACACGAGACGAGCCACUACGGUGGUGAAGCUGUUGACGCUACGCUUCCAGGAAAAGCCUCUAAGCUUCAGGUAUUGUUGACCGUACUCGAAACCGACACAGGUGGUCAGGUAGAGCAUACCAAGGCGCUUGAGAGAACUCUGGUGAAGGAACUAGGCAAAAUAGUACCGUAACUUCGGGAGAAGGUACGCUCUUGUGUGUGAAGGACUUGCUCCGUAAGCACGUG
RNAcentral lists this ribosomal RNA (253 nucleotides) under Mesorhizobium sp. RNAcentral describes it as "partial 23S ribosomal RNA". It matches the Rfam family "Bacterial large subunit ribosomal RNA", at positions 1534 to 1774 of the family's 2925-position model. The record is from RNAcentral. Lineage: Bacteria; Pseudomonadati; Pseudomonadota; Alphaproteobacteria; Hyphomicrobiales; Phyllobacteriaceae.